Molecule: long non-coding RNA, 562 nt
Filed under: Populus tremula
Lineage: Eukaryota; Viridiplantae; Streptophyta; Magnoliopsida; Malpighiales; Salicaceae
Description: long non-coding RNA (PTRE_LNC002034)
Source: RNAcentral
UUUUAAUUUAUGAAAAUGCAAUGAGUUAACCUUAUCUCACUUGCAAUAUAUACUCUACAGUGCUCAUUGGCUACUGCAAGUGCCAACAGUAGCUGUCUAUAUGAAUUUGGAUGUAGAGAUAUCACCAAAACAUUCAACUUUAAUUACUGAGAAACUAGGAAACCAUGCACUAUUGUAGCUAAAUGAUUUUUGUCAGCUGCUUUUGUACUUUAAGAUCACUAUCAUUUCAACCCUGUAGAAGUUAAAGCAAAUAGAAGGCUCAAAUCCAACACUAUUCAUUUAAGUUCAGUUGCAACUCAAGGUUGAAAUUGAAACACCAAUGCUCAUAGCAAUAGAUUAACCUUGAAAUUUAAAGCGGACAAGCUUCAUGCAGCCAUCCUAGAGGUCAUCAUCAAAAGAAUAUGUUACACAAGAAGUUCCAACAAAAAUUACUUCCCAGCACUUUUUAUUCCCUCAAGUUCACUUCUUGUGAGAAACACGUGAAAAAUGAAAAAGACAAAAACAGAGGUGUAUGAUACUUGAGGUUGCCUCAUGGCAGUCCUGCUGAUUUUAAUUAACCUUU